CGGAUCCCGCACGCAGUGGCUGCGGUUCCAUCCUCGUCCAGCGGGCCGGCAGAGCGCGGGGGAACCGGGGGCCGGGGCCACUGACGCCCGUCCGCUCGCCGCGGCAGGCCCAUGUCGGAGGGACCUGCUCGGCCCCGCAGGAUGUCCCAGCCGCCCUCCAUCACCCUCCACGUCCCCGAGGGCACCGAGAGCGAUGGCCAGGAGCCGAGUCCGGACAACGAGAGAGCCCUGCACACCUCCUUCCACCAGCUUAUCCUGGAGCAGAGCAGCUUGAUCGAGGCAGGUCUGGAGCUGGAGAUGAAGGAGAGGGACAGAGAGUCCCCGGCCUGCCUGGCUCCCCCAGACGCCUGGCCAGAGCCAGGGCAGGGUGAGCAGUACCCUGGCUACUGCUCCGCCUCCCUGCAGAUCCUGGCCAGCAUGCCCAGCCGCACCAUCGGUAGGUGCCACCUGCCCUCCCGCCUUUCUCCAGGCCCCAGAGCCUCUCAGAGAGCUCUCCCGCCUACCCUGCUCUCCCACAGCCACUCAAACCCUGCCCUGCUCUGGCCUGCAGGACGCAGCCUCG
RNAcentral lists this long non-coding RNA (562 nucleotides) under Manacus vitellinus (golden-collared manakin). Its description in RNAcentral is "lncRNA (ENSMVIG00005014541.1)". Lineage: Eukaryota; Metazoa; Chordata; Aves; Passeriformes; Pipridae. The record is from RNAcentral.